UGUAGGCUGCAACUCGCCUACACGAAGUUGGAAUUGCUAGUAAUCGUGGAUCAGCAUGCCACGGUGAAUACGUUCCCGGGUCUUGUACACACCGCCCGUCACACCAUGGGAGCUGGUAACACCCGAAGUCAGUAGUCUAACCGCAAGGAGGACGCUGCCGAAGGUGGGAUUAGCGACUGGGGUGAAGUCGUAACAAGGUAAC
Molecule: ribosomal RNA, 202 nt
Filed under: uncultured bacterium
Lineage: Bacteria
Description: partial 16S ribosomal RNA
Rfam family: Bacterial small subunit ribosomal RNA
Source: RNAcentral